RNAcentral lists this ribosomal RNA (253 nucleotides) under uncultured bacterium. Its description in RNAcentral is "partial 16S ribosomal RNA". It matches the Rfam family "Bacterial small subunit ribosomal RNA", at positions 524 to 776 of the family's 1533-position model. The record is from RNAcentral.
UACAGAGGUCUCAAGCGUUGUUCGGAUUUAUUGGGCGUAAAGCGUGCGUAGGCGGCGGGGUAAGUGAGGUGCGAAAUCCCAGGGCUUAACCCUGGAACUGCACUUUAUACUGCCUUGCUCGAGGGCUGGAGAGGAGACUGGAAUUUACGGUGUAGCAGUGAAAUGCGUAGAGAUCGUAAGGAAGACCAGUGGCGAAGGCGAGUCUCUGGAAAGCUGCUGACGCUGAGGCACGAAGGCCAGGGGAGCAAACGGG